RNAcentral lists this ribosomal RNA (254 nucleotides) under uncultured bacterium. RNAcentral describes it as "partial 16S ribosomal RNA". It matches the Rfam family "Bacterial small subunit ribosomal RNA", at positions 524 to 777 of the family's 1533-position model. The record is from RNAcentral.
UACGAAGGGGGCUAGCGUUGUUCGGAAUCACUGGGCGUAAAGCGCACGUAGGCGGAUCUUUAAGUCAGGGGUGAAAUCCCGAGGCUCAACCUCGGAACUGCCUUUGAUACUGGGGAUCUCGAGUCCGGGAGAGGUGAGUGGAACUGCGAGUGUAGAGGUGAAAUUCGUAGAUAUUCGCAAGAACACCAGUGGCGAAGGCGGCUCACUGGCCCAUUACUGACGCUGAGGCACGAAAGCGUGGGGAGCAAACAGGG